CUCUAAUCAACGGAUGUCUUGGCUCCUUACACGAUGAAGAACGUUGCAUAAUGUGAUAAGUAACUGGAGUUGCGAACAUUGUGACAAGUUAAUCUUUGAAUGCACAUUGCGCGUACCAUUACUUCGGUAUUGGUUGCAUGUAUGCCACAGUACU
RNAcentral lists this ribosomal RNA (154 nucleotides) under Tetratrichomonas gallinarum. RNAcentral's name for it is "5.8S ribosomal RNA". It matches the Rfam family "5.8S ribosomal RNA". From Rfam's summary of the family: 5.8S ribosomal RNA (5.8S rRNA) is a component of the large subunit of the eukaryotic ribosome. The record is from RNAcentral. Lineage: Eukaryota; Parabasalia; Trichomonadida; Trichomonadidae.